UACGAAGGGGGCUAGCGUUGUUCGGAAUUACUGGGCGUAAAGCGCACGUAGGCGGAUAUUUAAGUCAGGGGUGAAAUCCCAGAGCUCAACUCUGGAACUGCCUUUGAUACUGGGUAUCUUGAGUAUGGAAGAGGUGAGUGGAAUUCCGAGUGUAGAGGUGGAAUUCGUAGAUAUUCGGAGGAACACCAGUGGCGAAGGCGGCUCACUGGUCCAUUACUGACGCUGAGGUGCGAAAGCGUGGGGAGCAAACAGG
This 253-nucleotide ribosomal RNA is filed under the name uncultured bacterium. Its description in RNAcentral is "partial 16S ribosomal RNA". It matches the Rfam family "Bacterial small subunit ribosomal RNA", at positions 524 to 776 of the family's 1533-position model. The record is from RNAcentral.